Non-coding RNA from Pelobates cultripes (western spadefoot toad), 625 nucleotides. Lineage: Eukaryota; Metazoa; Chordata; Amphibia; Anura; Pelobatidae. The record is from the annotation of a GenBank genome assembly.
GGGAUGCUUUGUGCUUGUUUACAGAGGGGGACAGAGUGUGUUGGGUUUCAUUUAUAUAAUGUUCCCAGUGUGACCAUGUUUGUUUCCAAAAUUUUGCAGGAUACAUCACUGUACAUGCUGUUAUGUCAUAAGUUUGUAUGGAUGACACCUGCGGCAGAGGUUUUUAACCAAUUUCUGCUAAUAAUCAUGAGGGCUGCUAAUAAAACAGUUUUCGCGCCCUUUUGCUAAUGGCCACAGAAGGAGGAGCAGGCAAGUCUCCAGGGUAUUUGGUAAGUUGAUAUUUGUACAAUCCCGAAUCAGUUUGUUUAUAUCUGCCCAGUAAGUAGAAAGUUUGGGGCAGGACCAUCAAACAUAGAGCAUGGAGCCCAUGCCUGACUGGCACCUUCAACACUUGUCAGGGCUUUGGGGGUCACAAUGUUUCAAUCUGGUGGGUACCAUAUACCAGCGGUAGAGGAUUUUCCUUGAUAACUCCACAUGAGAGUUGCAAAGGGUUAGGUGUUUAUACGCAUGGUAUAGAUAUUUCUUUUGGGGGUGUGUGAAUUUGAAGUUCAAAUCCUUUUCCCAUUUAGUUAAGAAGGGAGGGUGGUGUCAGUUAAUGCUUUGUAGGCUUCUAAGUAGAGCAUGG